Ipomoea nil (Japanese morning glory) is the source of this 70-nucleotide long non-coding RNA. RefSeq lists it as uncharacterized. NCBI's taxonomy places the organism in Eukaryota, Viridiplantae, Streptophyta, Magnoliopsida, Solanales, Convolvulaceae. The record is from RefSeq and is a predicted model, not a curated record. The transcript has 3 exons.
AAAUAAUAAUUAGUGCUACCAAUGAUGGAUUAUAUGAACCCGGGGGUCUGGAUUAUACAACCCGUAUAUG